AUUUUUUCUAGUUGAUUUCUAAGAACUUCAGCAACAAGAUGAGGUAGACGAAUGCACCAAUUUCAUUCUGCUUUCUUAAUGUUUUCUCAUCUGUUAUGAAAAAUAGAAGUGCAUCCUGGUUGUGGACCAACUUCUCUUAAAAGCAGAAGUCUCGAUAAUGCAGCAUAUCUCGAUCGAUUUGUUCAGGUCAAUGAAAGCAAUAAUUAUCCUCACGCUAGACUUCACGCUGCUUUUCAAAAGCAGAAUCCUCUCAUAUUUACUGCUUGCUUCAAUGGAACACAUUUCUGCUCAACUUCCAAGUGUCAGAAAUUGCCCUGAGACAGAAAGAGAGAAGGAAGACAAGAGAAGAGAAAACAUUAUGAAAUGUCAGCAGCUCAAAUGGAUUACUGUUCAAUAUCAGUCAAGACACUCUGAAAAGGAAACGCUGAGGUGCUCUCUUGGCUUAUCUCCUCAGCAGUGGACGUGUGGCGGGACGAUGUUCUAGGAAAAUGAACUGUCGCCAUAUCCCUCAAACGCAUCUCCAUCACACACUCUGAGGCGCAUACACAAAUAUAUAGCCACUCAGGCAUCUCUGCUGUUUGUGCAGACCUUGUUGCCUCCGGAGGGGCAAUUACCGAUGCUCACAACCUGUCUGAGGUGUCAGUGGAUGGGCUCCCAUCCCAAUCCUCUCCCUCUGUCCAUCUCUCCUCUCCAUUAUCAGCAGGGUAAAUAAUGCCCCUAUCUCUGAUGCGGAUGGAGAUGUGACUGGGACAACAGAUCCAAUUGCCCUCCGCUCCAUUUAUCUUUAGCAGUUAAAGUGGCGUUUUAGCGUUUAGGAGAACUCUGAGGUGAGACUAACAACAAACCUGCACGGGCUCUGGGAUGCAAUGGAGAAUAGUGCAUAAAUGUACACUAUAUUAUAUUAUAUUAUAUUAUAUUAUAUUAUAUUAUAUUAUAUUAUAUUAUAUUAUAUUAUAUUAUAUUAUAUAUGGCUGCUAAAAUAAAUAAAUAAAUAAAUCACAGAAAUGUGCCCUAAUGAAUAAUCUAUUACCGUUUCAUGUUCCCUCACAGGCCCAUCAGUUAGUGUCAGUUGCUGGAUUUCGCUAAAAAUGAUUGUUCACUACAAACAAACAAACCAAUCAGAAAGAGCUUCAAAUAAAUAAAUCAAAUUAAAAGUACAUUAAUACAAUUAAACAAAAUAGAAAUGUAGUAAAUACUAACUUACAAACUAAAUAAAUCUGCAAUAAUUAUUUUAACCUUUUAACAGUCCUACUGUCCCUUUAUUUAGUGUUUUAUAGGUUUAACAAAGCUAAAUCUAAAUCUUUUUAGAUUACCCCCUGCAUAUCCUGGGAUAUAGGAAUCACUACACACACACACACACACACACACACACACACACACACACACACACACACACAUAUAUAUAUAUAUAUAUAUAGCCUAUAUAUAAUCAAAAUGUAACAAAAAUUUACAGUACACACCCAUAACAAAUUAUAUAGAGAAAGCAAGCAAAGAACACAACAGAGCUUUUUGAAACUCGAAUAUCAGUUAAACCAUUGCGUCGCAAAAUGAUUCACUGUUUCGAAGAGCUCCAAUCGGAUCGCAUAUUUGCCCAUCCCAUCCCCCGGCAAAUCGCACCCUGUUUUAUAUAUAUAUAUAAGAAACAGAGGCAUGGAUGUAUUGUUCACAAUAAGCUCAAUAAGAUAAUAUAAUUAGAAAGUCCUUUUUCAUUUUAUUUGAAUACUACUUUAAGUAAAUUUCCCAUGCAUCUCUUUGUUUUCAAAAUUUACAAAAUAUACAUUUUUAAUUGUUUAAGACAGAGGCUUGACUUAAAAGACUCAAUGGCAACUCGUCUUUUUCUGUUCUACGAGAGACAAUAAGAGCUGGAAACCCUCUGCCAGGAAACAGGUUGAGGGGCUUUUGGAAGCCCUUUCAGUAGGGUCCACUCAUUAGUGGUCAGCUGCACCCUGAACAUUCAGACUCUCCUGUCCCCCCUCUCCUCCUCUCCAGGCCCUGAUGAAACCCUUUUCACUCACUCAGGGAAAGAAAAUGGGGGCAGGAGGAGGAGAAAAUCUUAGAGGUGCAUUGCACAGAGAGUCCUGUAUGUCAACAGGCCCAUAAUGAUACCUGAUAGCCCCUGGAAAACACUCCUGUCUCUUUCCCCCUUUUCUUCUUUCUUUUAAUUUCCCUCUUUUCCUUUUCCUAGAGCCCUUCUCUGUCCUACACGCCUUGGACGUGAUGCGCUUGAAAGCAUAAUUAGAGGUAAAACAGUGACUGUAUCUCCCAUUAUCCUUCUACGUGACUAUCACAAAGUCCUUUGUUUUUAAACCUCUCUCCUCAAAAUUCUCCUUUUCUCCCUGACUUUUUGAAAAGAUGCUCUAAAGAAGGUGGGUGGAGGGGAUGGGGGGAGUGUGAGGGUGAAAAGUGGGAGCAAGAGAGAAAGAGAAAACGCAAGAGAGUUCCCUCUGCGAGUCGCCAAGGUGCUCUCUAGUCCAUUGUGCAGUGUGCUGUCAGGUUAAAUUAGGGAGUACAGGCUCUGUGAGUGUAAAAAAAUCAAUACUUGAUGGAAGAUUGCUCCCCGGAAAAUCUGUUUUGAUUCCAGGAUUAAUUCUUGACCAAAGGCUCUGCUGAAAUGACAUGCCAUUAGGGCCGAAAAUGAACACAUUCGGCAGUGGAAAUUGGAUGGAAAUGUGUCAGGUGAUUGCCCCGGCUGCUUGUUUUGCUCCUGGAGAGCGAGAGAGGAAGGGAGAGCGCGUGAGGGGGAAAGCGCGGCUCUGGAGGAAGGUGUGGAGGCAAAAAGCCUCGGAUCCGCAGGCCCCUCGGAAUCCAUUUUCAGGCCUUCGCCGCAUCCCUCCGGAGUAUUCUCUGGGCCAUUGUUGUCCGGCUCCUGCAAAUGCACUCUGUGCAAGGUGAAAUGCAUUUGUGCACUGGCUGCGUCUCUCCUGUGUGUUCCCACAAAUCACAAGAUGAAGAAUAGCCCAUCUUAAAAUAAAGCAGGGACCUCUUUUCUUUGUCUCUGUGGUGCGGAUGAAAGAAAGAGAAAAUGCAAUAUUGAUGAGAGUAAUGUGUUUGUCAUCACUUGUAGCAUAUCUCCAGCACCUGAGUACAAGAAAUGAAAAAUCAAAACACUAUUCGCUAAGAUAACAUGCUUUAAAAGCAGUAUAAAGUGAGAGUUAAAAU
Molecule: long non-coding RNA, 3159 nt
Organism: Cyprinus carpio carpio
Lineage: Eukaryota; Metazoa; Chordata; Actinopteri; Cypriniformes; Cyprinidae
Source: Ensembl